Molecule: ribosomal RNA, 507 nt
Filed under: uncultured bacterium
Lineage: Bacteria
Description: bacterial SSU rRNA
Rfam family: Bacterial small subunit ribosomal RNA
Source: RNAcentral
AUUGAACGCUAGCGGCAUGCUUAACACAUGCAAGUCGAACGGUAACAGGACUAGCUUGCUAGUCGCUGACGAGUGGCGGACGGGUGAGUAAUACGUAGGAAUCUGCCUCAUAGUGGGGGAUAACCCGAGGAAACUCGGGCUAAUACCGCAUGAUCUCUAUGGAGCAAAGCGGGGGACCUUCGGGCCUCGUGCUGUGAGAUGAGCCUACGUCGGAUUAGCUAGUUGGUGGGGUAAAGGCCUACCAAGGCGACGAUCCGUAGCUGGUCUGAGAGGACGAUCAGCCACACUGGGACUGAGACACGGCCCAGACUCCUACGGGAGGCAGCAGUGGGGAAUAUUGGACAAUGGGCGCAAGCCUGAUCCAGCAAUGCCGCGUGUGUGAAGAAGGCCUUCGGGUUGUAAAGCACUUUUAGUGGGGAAGAAAAGCUUGUAAAUAAUACUUAUGAGUAUUGACGUUACCCACAGAAAAAGCACUGGCUAACUCUGUGCCAGCAGCCGCCGUAAGAC